UGUGGCAGUGGUUGCGGCAGCCUGUGUGGUCUGCCCUCCUGGCCUUAGCAGCCCGUCUGGAGAACUGGCAGGAGUGAGCUUCCCCGGGAGACCUCAGUCCCCGGGUGAGCUCUCUAACAGCCCACCAAGGAGUCACAGGGCUGCUACCCAGCUGCAGUGAGCAUGGCAGCUCAGGGAGAUCUGCUGUGCCUCACUGAUUGUAAUCCAGAAAAAACACAAGCCCCAGGUAUCAAGAAGAGCGGGGAGAAGAAAGUUAGGCUAUGGAAAGCAGAACAGGUAGCUUCUCGCUAUCCUGUCUUCUGCAAGGACUUUGGCAGACUCGUGUGUCUGUGGUAGUUCUGCUGGUGCUUAGGAUCUCUGUCAGAUGCAUUUUCUUUAGAGAGCUAGUGAACCUUUGCAUACGAACAGGAAAGCAUGUCAUUUUUCUGAUGCUGAAUUUCAAUAUUUGUAGUAUUUUUCCCCUUGAGGUGGUUUAGGAGUAUAGAAGAUGAUUAAAAUGAAAUUUUUAUUGUUAUUUCUAGUGCAUUUUCUGUGCUGUAAACACUGAAUGAAAAGCUGAAAGGCGGUCCCAUCCCCUGGAGAGACUGGAGCCAUCUGACCAAGAAAUGAUUAGACUAGUCAGUGGGGAAGACAAGGUGAUGGGAAGACGUGGGGGGCUGUGAGAUUUCAAGAAGCUGUGAGUGGGAUGGCCAGUUUCUUCUUCUUAAUGCUGAUCUGCUCCAAGUGACCUUUCUAAGGAUCUGAAGUUCUACCCAAGAGGAUAUGGAGCAAUUUUCCUCUUUUGCUGCUGUUCAUGCAAACUCAGGAAUCUGUGAAUUAUACCAGGACAUUUGAAUUCCCAUGUAAUCUUCUCUGAGAGAUCCCUUAUAUGAGCUUGCUAGAGGCAGUAGGAGCCACAAAAGACCUUUCUCAGAAACAGAGAUUGCAGAUGACCCCAUGCUGAGAAGAAAGGAUGCAAACCAAAAACUUCUGAGGCCACAUGAUUAAGAUCAGAGUCAAGAACUCGACUGUGCAGAUCUCAACCACUGGGACCAUUGCUGUGCACUGAGAUAACCAAAAAAGGGAGGCACAGUGCUCUCACUCUAAUACCACUGAUUGAUUGCCACAGUGCUAUGGAUCCCAGCUCCUCUGGAACCUGCGAGAAACUCCAUUUCAUACUACUACACUGACUUCUCAAAAAAAGUUUAAGUGCUUAAUAAGCAUAAAUUAAUUCAGCCAAAAAAUGUUUCUGUGAUGUGGGAAAAUCUGUGGUGCCUAGCUGACACCACUUACUUGACUUGCUUAAUAUUACAAACUGAAUCAGUGAUGCAGAUAAGAACCCAACUCAGUAUCCCUAUUUCUGACCCCUUGCUUUGUACAGUAAAUGCGAACAAGGCAAACUCCCAAUACUCAACAGAACAAGUGGCUGGAUUGUGGCUAGUGCACCUUUGCAUAGUAGUGCAAAACCAAUUCCUUUUAUGAAUUCCUCCUACCCCUUCAAAAACCAGCUUUAAUGAGAGGGAAAUGCUCUAAAAACUCACUCUUAUAAAUGUAGCACAGAUGCUUUUCUGCUCUUAAUUUUUUUUUUCUUCAUAACAGCGAGUGGCUUUAUUUAACAAUCAGAAUAUGGAUUCUAACUUAGGUGGCUAGGUUAGCUGACUAGUCUUUAGAUUUGGUUCCUUCUGGAGUCAACAGACAGGUGUGGAUCUAGGAGGUUCUUCCAGAGGAUGAUUCAGAGCAGAAGUCUAAGUCAGGUGCUCAGAUUUGAGCUGACUGAGUGCCUAAAGCCUUGACAAACUCUGUUCCCUGAUUGCAAUAGGUGGAGCUGGGAUUCAUCUGACAAUACAGUAUAAAAGAAAUGAAAUACAUGACAGAGAAAAGACCGAGAGGCGAUUAUCCCUAUGAUAUGCUUGUACAUCUGUGAGGGCUCUAAGCAGUAGGAAUAAAUGUAUAGUGGAGACAUCGAUGUUACAGGCAACCUUCUAGUUCAAUU
Long non-coding RNA from Harpia harpyja (harpy eagle), 1972 nucleotides. RefSeq lists it as uncharacterized. NCBI's taxonomy places the organism in Eukaryota, Metazoa, Chordata, Aves, Accipitriformes, Accipitridae. The record is from RefSeq and is a predicted model, not a curated record. The transcript is spliced from 6 exons.